RNAcentral lists this transfer RNA (67 nucleotides) under Holmskioldia sanguinea. Its description in RNAcentral is "tRNA-Gly". It matches the Rfam family "tRNA". From Rfam's summary of the family: Transfer RNA (tRNA) molecules are approximately 80 nucleotides in length. Their secondary structure includes four short double-helical elements and three loops (D, anti-codon, and T loops). Further hydrogen bonds mediate the characteristic L-shaped molecular structure. tRNAs have two regions of fundamental functional importance: the anti-codon, which is responsible for specific mRNA codon recognition, and the 3' end, to which the tRNAs corresponding amino acid is attached (by aminoacyl-tRNA synthetases). tRNAs cope with the degeneracy of the genetic code in two manners: having more than one tRNA (with a specific anti-codon) for a particular amino acid; and 'wobble' base-pairing, i.e. permitting non-standard base-pairing at the 3rd anti-codon position. The record is from RNAcentral. RNAcentral also lists the same sequence under 58 other names. Lineage: Eukaryota; Viridiplantae; Streptophyta; Magnoliopsida; Lamiales; Lamiaceae.
GCGGGUAUAGUUUAGUGGUAAAAGUGUUUCCAAGCUAACGAUGCGGGUUCGAUUCCCGCUACCCGCU